UUACCAUGCAAGUCGAACGAUGAACCGCUUUCGGGCGGGGAUUAGUGGCGAACGGGUGAGUAACACGUGGGCAAUCUGCCCUGCACUCUGGGACAAGCCCUGGAAACGGGGUCUAAUACCGGAUAUGACUGUCCAUCGCAUGGUGGAUGGUGUAAAGCUCCGGCGGUGCAGGAUGAGCCCGCGGCCUAUCAGCUUGUUGGUGAGGUAGUGGCUCACCAAGGCGACGACGGGUAGCCGGCCUGAGAGGGCGACCGGCCACACUGGGACUGAGACACGGCCCAGACUCCUACGGGAGGCAGCAGUGGGGAAUAUUGCACAAUGGGCGAAAGCCUGAUGCAGCGACGCCGCGUGAGGGAUGACGGCCUUCGGGUUGUAAACCUCUUUCAGCAGGGAAGAAGCGAAAGUGACGGUACCUGCAGAAGAAGCGCCGGCUAACUACGUGCCAGCAGCCGCGGUAAUACGUAGGGCGCAAGCGUUGUCCGGAAUUAUUGGGCGUAAAGAGCUCGUAGGCGGCUUGUCACGUCGGUUGUGAAAGCCCGGGGCUUAACCCCGGGUCUGCAGUCGAUACGGGCAGGCUAGAGUUCGGUAGGGGAGAUCGGAAUUCCUGGUGUAGCGGUGAAAUGCGCAGAUAUCAGGAGGAACACCGGUGGCGAAGGCGGAUCUCUGGGCCGAUACUGACGCUGAGGAGCGAAAGCGUGGGGAGCGAACAGGAUUAGAUACCCUGGUAGUCCACGCCGUAAACGGUGGGCACUAGGUGUGGGCAACAUUCCACGUUGUCCGUGCCGCAGCUAACGCAUUAAGUGCCCCGCCUGGGGAGUAC
Molecule: ribosomal RNA, 820 nt
Filed under: Streptomyces violascens
Lineage: Bacteria; Bacillati; Actinomycetota; Actinomycetes; Kitasatosporales; Streptomycetaceae
Description: bacterial SSU rRNA
Rfam family: Bacterial small subunit ribosomal RNA
Source: RNAcentral